This 381-nucleotide ribosomal RNA is filed under the name uncultured bacterium. Its description in RNAcentral is "bacterial SSU rRNA". It matches the Rfam family "Bacterial small subunit ribosomal RNA", at positions 28 to 404 of the family's 1533-position model. The record is from RNAcentral.
GACGAACGCUGGCGGCGUGCUUAACACAUGCAAGUCGAGCGGUAAGGCCUUUCGGGGUACACGAGCGGCGAACGGGUGAGUAACACGUGGGUGAUCUGCCCUGCACUUCGGGAUAAGCCUGGGAAACUGGGUCUAAUACCGGAUAUGACCUCCUAUCGCAUGGUGGGUGGUGGAAAGAUUUAUCGGUGCAGGAUGGGCCCGCGGCCUAUCAGCUUGUUGGUGGGGUAAUGGCCUACCAAGGCGACGACGGGUAGGCCGACCUGAGAGGGUGACCGGCCACCACUGGGACGUGAGACACGGCCCACGACUCCUACGGGAGGCAGCAGUGGGGAAGUAAUUGCACAAUAGGGCGGAAAGCCUCGAUGCAGCGACGCCGCGUGA